AAUGAACGUUGGCGGCAUGGAUUAGGCAUGCAAGUCGCGCGACAAGCCAUUUUUAGCUUGCUAUUGAUGGUGGAGGAGCGGCGUAAGGGAGAGUAACGGGUGGAUUAUCUGCCCUCGGGUCCGGGAUAGCUGCGGGAAACUGCAAGUAAUACCGGAUAAUAUCUGCGGAUCAAAGGUGUGAUUCCGCCCGAGGAUGAGUCCGCCUCCUAUUAGCUUGUUGGUGGGGUAAUGGCCUACCAAGGCUACGAUGGGUACCGGGUGUGAGAGCAUGGCCCGGCUCACUGGGACUGAGACACUGCCCAGACACCUACGGGUGGCUGCAGUCGAGAAUCUUCGGCAAUGGGCGAAAGCCUGACCGAGCGAUGCCGCGUGCGGGAUGAAGGCCUUCGGGUUGUAAACCGCUGUCAGUAGGGAGGAAAUCUAUGAGGGUCAUCCCUCAUAGUUGACCUAUCUUCAGAGGAAGG
RNAcentral lists this ribosomal RNA (464 nucleotides) under uncultured bacterium. RNAcentral's name for it is "bacterial SSU rRNA". It matches the Rfam family "Bacterial small subunit ribosomal RNA", at positions 29 to 491 of the family's 1533-position model. The record is from RNAcentral.